UUGAACGCUGGCGGCAGGCCUCACACCUGCAAGUCGAGCGGAUGAAGGGAGCUUGCUCCUGGAUUCAGCGGCGGACGGGUGAGUAAUGCCUAGGAAUCUGCCUGGUAGUGGGGGAUAACGUCCGGAAACGGGCGCUAAUACCGCAUACGUCCUGAGGGAGAAAGUGGGGGAUCUUCGGACCUCACGCUAUCAGAUGAGCCUAGGUCGGAUUAGCUAGUUGGUGGGGUAAAGGCCUACCAAGGCGAGGAUCCGUAACUGGUCUGAGAGGAUGAUCAGUCACACUGGAACUGAGACACGGUCCAGACUCCUACGGGAGGCAGCAGUGGGGAAUAUUGGACAAUGGGCGAAAGCCUGAUCCAGCCAUGCCGCGUGUGUGAAGAAGGUCUUCGGAUUGUAAAGCACUUUAAGUUGGGAGGAAGGGCAGUAAGUUAAUACCUUGCUGUUUUGACGUUACCAACAGAAUAAGCACCGGCUAACUUCGUG
Molecule: ribosomal RNA, 483 nt
Filed under: uncultured bacterium
Lineage: Bacteria
Description: partial 16S ribosomal RNA
Rfam family: Bacterial small subunit ribosomal RNA
Source: RNAcentral